Long non-coding RNA from Quercus robur (English oak), 330 nucleotides. RefSeq lists it as uncharacterized. NCBI's taxonomy places the organism in Eukaryota, Viridiplantae, Streptophyta, Magnoliopsida, Fagales, Fagaceae. The record is from RefSeq and is a predicted model, not a curated record. The transcript has 2 exons.
CCACUCCCUGCCAACUUCUCAGCCAAUUCAACAUAUGAUGCUUCCAUUGCCUGUUCAAAAUUCAAAAAAAAAAAAAAAAAUCCAUUUAGAGAAAUCCAGAAAACAAAGAUAUAAUAAGAAUUCUGAAUUGCCUGCAACAUUGUUUACCUGGCAAAACUGGCACCAUGGUGCAUAGAGCACAACAAUCCAUGGUUCUUUUCGGUCCUCCAACCUCGCUAAAUUCUCAAUUCCAGUCCUAUUCAAGGUAACCAAGUUCUGGGUGUUGAAUAUAUCAGGAACUAUGGCAGUUCCAUUAGCAUGGACUGCCCCAUUUCCAUUACCAUCUACAUU